GAUGAACGCUGGCGGCGUGCCUAAUACAUGCAAGUCGAGCGAACAGACUAGGAGCUUGCUCCUCUGACGUUAGCGGCGGACGGGUGAUUAACACGUGGAUAACCUACCUAUAAAACUGGGAUAACUUCGGGAAACCGGAGCUAAUACCGGAUAAUAUAUUGAACCGCAUGGUUCAAUAGUGAAAGACGGUUUUGCUGUCACUUAUAGAUGGAUCCGCGCCGCAUUAGCUAGUUGGUAAGGUAACGGCUUACCAAGGCAACGAUGCGUAGCCGACCUGAGAGGGUGAUCGGCCACACUGGAACUGAGACACGGUCCAGACUCCUACGGGAGGCAGCAGUAGGGAAUCUUCCGCAAUGGGCGAAAGCCUGACGGAGCAACGACGCGUGCGUGAUGAAGGUCUUCGGAUCGUAACACUCUGUUAUUCGGGAAGACCCAAUGUGUAAGUAACUAUGCACGUCUUGACGGUACCUAAUCAGAAAGCCACGGCUAACUACGUG
This 497-nucleotide ribosomal RNA is filed under the name uncultured bacterium. Its description in RNAcentral is "partial 16S ribosomal RNA". It matches the Rfam family "Bacterial small subunit ribosomal RNA", at positions 28 to 507 of the family's 1533-position model. The record is from RNAcentral.